This 1687-nucleotide ribosomal RNA is filed under the name Escherichia coli. RNAcentral describes it as "partial 23S ribosomal RNA". It matches the Rfam family "Bacterial large subunit ribosomal RNA", at positions 1270 to 2925 of the family's 2925-position model. Lineage: Bacteria; Pseudomonadati; Pseudomonadota; Gammaproteobacteria; Enterobacterales; Enterobacteriaceae. The record is from RNAcentral.
AUGCUGGAGGUAUCAGAAGUGCGAAUGCUGACAUAAGUAACGAUAAAGCGGGUGAAAAGCCCGCUCGCCGGAAGACCAAGGGUUCCUGUCCAACGUUAAUCGGGGCAGGGUGAGUCGACCCCUAAGGCGAGGCCGAAAGGCGUAGUCGAUGGGAAACAGGUUAAUAUUCCUGUACUUGGUGUUACUGCGAAGGGGGGACGGAGAAGGCUAUGUUGGCCGGGCGACGGUUGUCCCGGUUUAAGCGUGUAGGCUGGUUUUCCAGGCAAAUCCGGAAAAUCAAGGCUGAGGCGUGAUGACGAGGCACUACGGUGCUGAAGCAACAAAUGCCCUGCUUCCAGGAAAAGCCUCUAAGCAUCAGGUAACAUCAAAUCGUACCCCAAACCGACACAGGUGGUCAGGUAGAGAAUACCAAGGCGCUUGAGAGAACUCGGGUGAAGGAACUAGGCAAAAUGGUGCCGUAACUUCGGGAGAAGGCACGCUGAUAUGUAGGUGAAGCGACUUGCUCGUGGAGCUGAAAUCAGUCGAAGAUACCAGCUGGCUGCAACUGUUUAUUAAAAACACAGCACUGUGCAAACACGAAAGUGGACGUAUACGGUGUGACGCCUGCCCGGUGCCGGAAGGUUAAUUGAUGGGGUCAGCGCAAGCGAAGCUCUUGAUCGAAGCCCCGGUAAACGGCGGCCGUAACUAUAACGGUCCUAAGGUAGCGAAAUUCCUUGUCGGGUAAGUUCCGACCUGCACGAAUGGCGUAAUGAUGGCCAGGCUGUCUCCACCCGAGACUCAGUGAAAUUGAACUCGCUGUGAAGAUGCAGUGUACCCGCGGCAAGACGGAAAGACCCCGUGAACCUUUACUAUAGCUUGACACUGAACAUUGAGCCUUGAUGUGUAGGAUAGGUGGGAGGCUUUGAAGUGUGGACGCCAGUCUGCAUGGAGCCGACCUUGAAAUACCACCCUUUAAUGUUUGAUGUUCUAACGUUGACCCGUAAUCCGGGUUGCGGACAGUGUCUGGUGGGUAGUUUGACUGGGGCGGUCUCCUCCUAAAGAGUAACGGAGGAGCACGAAGGUUGGCUAAUCCUGGUCGGACAUCAGGAGGUUAGUGCAAUGGCAUAAGCCAGCUUGACUGCGAGCGUGACGGCGCGAGCAGGUGCGAAAGCAGGUCAUAGUGAUCCGGUGGUUCUGAAUGGAAGGGCCAUCGCUCAACGGAUAAAAGGUACUCCGGGGAUAACAGGCUGAUACCGCCCAAGAGUUCAUAUCGACGGCGGUGUUUGGCACCUCGAUGUCGGCUCAUCACAUCCUGGGGCUGAAGUAGGUCCCAAGGGUAUGGCUGUUCGCCAUUUAAAGUGGUACGCGAGCUGGGUUUAGAACGUCGUGAGACAGUUCGGUCCCUAUCUGCCGUGGGCGCUGGAGAACUGAGGGGGGCUGCUCCUAGUACGAGAGGACCGGAGUGGACGCAUCACUGGUGUUCGGGUUGUCAUGCCAAUGGCACUGCCCGGUAGCUAAAUGCGGAAGAGAUAAGUGCUGAAAGCAUCUAAGCACGAAACUUGCCCCGAGAUGAGUUCUCCCUGACUCCUUGAGAGUCCUGAAGGAACGUUGAAGACGACGACGUUGAUAGGCCGGGUGUGUAAGCGCAGCGAUGCGUUGAGCUAACCGGUACUAAUGAACCGUGAGGCUUAACCUUACAACGCCGAAG